Long non-coding RNA from Dreissena polymorpha, 3478 nucleotides. RefSeq lists it as uncharacterized. The record is from RefSeq and is a predicted model, not a curated record. Lineage: Eukaryota; Metazoa; Mollusca; Bivalvia; Myida; Dreissenidae. The transcript is spliced from 3 exons.
CCGGGUGUACAUUGUCCAGGGUAAUCAUGGAACUUAGGCUGGAAAUCCAUGGUAUAACAUGGAAUUCCAUGGUAAUCCCUGGAAUUUGAAACAGUUUCCAGGGUUUUCCAGGGUUUUGUUCUAGAAAUGUCCAUGAAACGUGGACUUUUUUUCCAAGCAUUUUCCAGCCUUGGAUGGAAAAGCAUGGAAAAGGAAUGGAAAACGCUGGAUUUAGGCUGGAUAACCCUGGAAAAUAUUUCCAGAUAGCAUGGAAAGUAGAACAUAGAAUUUUUUAAGCAUGGAAAAGACUCUAACAUUUUCAGCUAACUCUGGAAAAAACUUAGACUUUAUAAGAGGAGAAAAUAACUUAUAAAAAUGCAACACAUUUUAUUCAAAGUAAAUCAGAGUUCAACAAUUUACACAACAUAUGAAUAAAACAUAAAACAAUGUGCAUAGUUUGGGCAGAAAUAGUAGUAGUUAUAGUAGUAGUAGUAGUAGUAGAAGUAGUAAUGCUGGUGCUGGCAGUAGAAUAUGUUGUAGGAGUAGAAGUAAAAGUGGUUGUUGUAUAAGUUGUACAAGCAGUUAAACUACUGAUAAUUAUACUAUUGGUGCAAAUUUAAGUGACAGUAGCAGUUACUAUUGUGUUGUUGUUUUAGCAUUUACAGGAAUAGUAGCAGUAAUGGUAGCAAUAGUAGUAUAAAUAAUAAUAACAAUACUAGUAGCAGCAGUAGAAGUAGUAGUUAAGGAAGUAGCAUUAGCAGCAGCAGCAGUAGUAGUAGUAGAAGUAGCAGCAGCAGCAGUAGUAGCAGUAGCAGCAUCAGUAGUAGUAGCAGUAGUAGUAGCAGUAGUAGUUGAAGUACUAGUAGUAGUAGUAGUAGUAGUAGUAGUAGUAGUAGUAGUAGUAGUAGUAGUAGUAGUAGUAGUAGUAGAAGUAGAAGUAGCAGCAGUAGUAGUGGUAGAAGUAGUAGUAGUAGUAACAGCAACAGCAGCAGCAGUAGUAGUAGUAGUCGCUGCAGCAGGAGUUGUAAUAGUAGCAGCAGCAGCAGUAGCAGUAGUAGUAGUAGCAGCAGCAGCAGCAGCAGGAGUAGUAGCAGCAGCAGCAGUAGCAGCAGCAGUAGCAGUAGUAGUAGUAGUUGAAGCAGUAGUAGUAGUUGAAGUAGUAGUAGUAGUAGUAGUAGUAGCAGUAGUAGCAGCAGUAGUAGUAGUAGUAGUAGUAGUAGUAGUAGUAGUAGUAGUAGAAGUAGAAGUAGCAGUAGUAGUAGUAGUAGUAGUAGCAGUAGUAGUAGUAGUAGUAGUAGUAGUAGGUAGUUGUUGUUGUUGUUGUGGCUGUUGUAAUAGUAGUAGUAGUUUUGCAGAAGUAGUAGUAGUAGUAGUAGUACUAGUAGUAGAAGUAAUAGUAGUAACUUUCAAAGCAAUGUCUACAAGUUUAAAUUCCUUAACCCUGUUCAAGGUGUAUACACACUUAAUAUUUAACUACAGUCCAGGUUUGCAAUUAACAAACUAUCUGAAAAGCCUGUGUGUGAGUCAGAUGUGUCUGCGGCUAAUCUAUUGGUUAUAAAAUAUCACAGCCUUUUCUGAUUGGCUGAGUUCAAAUACAGAAAGUUUACCUGUUAGAUUGAAUUUCUGGAGAAGGCGUAUUGAAGAAAAAAUGCAGCUUAAACUUGUUGUUAAAAUGAAGUUAAUGUAAUUUCACAAACAGUAGAGUUAAUGAGUUUUUCCAUUAACAAGAAUUUCUUAAAAUAAUAAUGUAUGGAUAUCAUUUGGAAAGUGACAUGAAAUGUUGUUAAAAAGUGAUGCAUACAAGUGUUUCAGAAGUCUGUCUAGGAAUAGAACAACAACUGAAGCUGACCAGUUGAUGGAAGAUACUGCAGAGUUUGGCAGGGAAAUAACCCAAGACAGCAAAGCGGCUCUUUUGGCGCAUUUACCAAGAGGACUAACAUGGCCACAAAUUCAUGAGAUCAUGCAGGAGCCCUACAGUAUAACAGCAGUACAAGUUCUAUAAAAGAUCCACGACCUACUGAAGCCCAGCUAAUUAACAAAAAAGUUUUUAAAAACUGUAAUUUUAUCCCACCUGGGUACUUAUAAUUUACUAAGCUGCCUACACAAGUUUUAGAUUUGCAAUUAUAUUUUAAAUUGUCACUUGGAAAGUAAUACAUGUACAUCUAUUAUGUUCUGAAUUUCUUUGAACAAUAAAAUUAUAUAAAAGUAUUUUAAUGAAAUUAAGCACCUAAAUUGCAUUAAAGUGAAAGUAGCUGAGAACAAGAUGUGUUUGUGAAACACAAUGUCCCCCUAUAUGACGUUUGACCUUGAAGGAUGACCUUGACCUUGACCCUUCACUACUCAAAAUGUGCAGCUCCAUGAGAUACACAUGCAUGUCAAAUAUAAAAUUGCUAGCUUCAAUAUUGCAGAAGUUGCAUUACAUGAGCAAUUUUGACCCAUAUAUUUGACUUGGAAGGAUGACCUUGACCUUGACCUUUCACCACUCAAAAUGUGCAGCUCCAUAAGUUACACAUGCAUGCCAAAUAUCAAGUUGCUAUCUUCAAUAUUGCAAAAGUUUUCAUAAAAUAAGCGAUUUGGGCCACAUAUAUUUGACCUCUGACCUUGAAGGAUGACCUUGACCUUUCACCACUCAAAAUGUGCAGCUCUAUAAGUUACACAUGCAUGCCAAAUAUCAAGUUGCUAUCUUUAAUAUUGCAAAAGUAUUCAUAAAAUAAGCGAUUUGGGCCACAUAUAUUUGACCUCUGACCUUGAAGUAUGACCUUGACCUUUCACCACUCAAAAUGUGCAGCUCCAUGAGAUACACAUGCAAGCCAAAUAUCAAGUUGCUAUCUUCAAUAUUGCAAAAGUAUUCAUAAAAUGAGCGAUUUUGGCCACAUAUAUUUGACCUCUGACCUUGAAGGAUGACCUUGACCUUUCACCACUCAAAAUGUGCAGCUCCAUGAGAUACACAUGCAUGCCAAAUAUCAAGUUGCUAUCUUCAAUAUAGCAAAAGUUAUUUCAAAAUGUUAAAGUUGGUGCAAACCAACCAACCAACCAACAGACCAACCAACCAACAGACUAACCAACAGACAGGGCAAAAACAAUAUGUCCCCCACUACUAUAGUGGGGGACAUAAAAAUAUUAUCCUUGUGCUCAUGUUCAGCUACAUAUAUUGUGACAUACAUGAAGCAGCUAAAAAUAACUUAAAUUUUUCAUUUUGUUUCUUGUAUAUCGUUUGUACAGGGUUCGUGAAUUGUUACUGUAUAUUACUUGACUUGCUUGUAUUUUGUUACUUUGAAUACAUGUUGUGAAGGUUGCAUUAUACUUUUUAACUUUUAAAGGAGCGCUUGUUCUGUUAUGUAAGGGCCUGAUUUAUGAUUAUGGACCUAGAGGCUUUGUAAGCAUGUAUUAAACAACACUUGUUUGAUCUGAAUAAUUUGUUAAAUAAAUGUAACACAAUUUGUAAUCUGAUGUUAUAUUUUGAUGAAUUGUGAACAAAAUAAUACAUCGAAGAAACUAA